CCGACUAGCGGGCGGUGAUUGGCGGCGUGCUGGACGGCGAGGUGCUCGGCGGAGAAUUCUCAUCGGAUAAUUCCCUCGCUCCCCUCUCCAUCUCUCCCCCGUCCUCUCGUGCGACUCGGAGACCGACAGCCGCAGCGGUGAUGGAGCGUACAACGAUUUUGCGGCGGCGACCAAUCCCAAAUCCAUCCCACUGCUCAGUCGGAUAAGGCGCUUGCGACAACCAACAUUCACCGAACCAGAUUUUCCAUUUCCUCGACAGGCGGCUCCGGCACAGGAAUAAAAGUGCGCCCUAUGUCCAGAAGCUAUGCCACGGCCGCCUACAAUUCCACCCAGGAUAUAGCUAACUUGCAUGCAUGUUUGAUUUCUGAUCUUUUCCCAAUAUGUCCUGUUCAUUCAAUUUUAUACGGUCAUAUUUUAGCCAGGCUCCAUAUAUCCAUAGUUGCAAAACAAUUCUUCAGAUUUCCUUGGUAAAAUUUCUGGAAUAUUACAUAAUAUUGGCUGUGCCAUCAUAAGCAUUUGUUUAUCCCCUAGUAUAAAAAUACCAAAGUGAGGUCUCUAUACAUACAUACGAGAAGCACCUCUUUAAUUAGUAAUUUGCUGGUAGAAACAUCGAUCGGUUAUUACUGGACAUGAACUAGCUUUUACAAAUGCAAUAGGUAAUUGCGUGGAAAUUGUUCUGAGAAAUUGUUGUCGAGAUAGGUAAUUACAUACUUGAGAACAGUUGCUCUUUAAGAUUUCUUGAGCUUUAUUCCGGGUGCUCAAGUGAAGCAAUUGCUUCUCACUGAAGGGUCUGUUUAUUUCUUGGACGGGUCAGGUUGUUCCUGUUUUCUCUUUCAUUCAGAUGUACCUUGGAUUUGUAAAUCAGAAAGUCUGAUGCUCAACGAGAUUCAGGUCGCGCUAAGACAUCAACAAUCAGUGCCGACAAGCCUCCACUAUCUAUUGCAGAAAUGAAGAACCGUGUUGAUUGCUUAUCCUGAAUAUGAUUUUGGGCAAAUAGGACCUGACUAGCUUCUAAAUCUGCUGAACUGUACUGAUCAUAGUGUGAAACUAAUUUUGCUUUUUCUCUUCUAAAGGCCAUCUCACGUUCGCAAUGAUUCAUAAUUUGCCAGAGGAGGUGGCUCAGUUGGAAGUUAUGUUCAGUUUCUUGAUUCUUAUGCUAAUUCUCUGUCCAUUUGUAAGACGGCUGGUGAUGUUCAGAAUAAUAAGGGAAGUGCCUUGCACCUGAAUGUCAAAUGAAAAGUAGAGCUGAAGGUUGUGGUCUGUAUCCUUGCCAUGGUGGCUCCUUGCUGAUACAGGCUUUUAUAUUUGAAUGCUCGCUACUCUCGCACAUAUAUAGAUUUUUCAUUAUAGAUGCAAAUUUGGAGCCGCUUAAAUUUGCUUGCCUGUCGUUUUACUUAGCAAUCUGCAAGAAAAAGCAAGACACCAUAGAUUGCUUGGCAAUAAAGAUCGACCUAAAUUAGCAAUUUGUGUGUAGCCUUAGAAAUCUAUAUAUUUAUUAAAUUCUAAGUUACUUGUGCUCGCGUCCUUAAUGAGAUGGUUGCUUUGCCUUAUGAUCAAAUUUUCAAUUGCUAAUGGUGACUACAUUAGACUGUUUAAGCAACUAAGGAACUCAAGUUCCAUGGUGACUACAAGUCAUGAGUGGCCUCUGCACUAUUCUUGUAUGUUCUUCUAUUUUCAAUGGAAGCAUUCAAUCAUUUUUUUUCUCUCGCAGAAGUUUAUAUACCUCUCCAUGGAUCAUUCAGGUGUAAAAAUAUGGAUUUUCACUUUUGACCUGCAGUAUUUGACGGUCUCUAUGUGGAGGGUUUCAGAACUUUCUCUAGGCGCAGACCUGAAUACUAGCAGUACACGCUUGCAACUAGCAAAAAAUGCAAGAUGCAGGGUCGCGUUUUCUUUUUCCAAUGCAUGGUAUCUGUUCAGGUGGAUGACCGCUAAUUUAUGUGGGAUAGGAAUGUCUUCAUAUUUGUGGUUUUGGUGAGAAGAAAGGUGAACCUAAUGGCUACAGCACUAUCAAGAAGAAUGUUUCAAUCGCUGGAGAAAUUGAGGAACAAAUGAUGGCUGGUGUGGCGAACAUCGAGGGAUUCUUUGGAUCAUGCUUUGAUUUAACCAAUACUCCGUCCGUCCCAAAUUAGUUGAGUUAGAUUUGUCUAACACUAAAACUGUCUAGAUACAUUCGUAUCUAUAUAAAUCUGAGUCAAGUAAUUCAGAACAGAGGGAGUAUAUGUUUAGCGUUACUAGAUCAAGACCUGAGUGAGGUUCUAGCUAAAAUGAAUAUGUUAAAUGCAAAAAAGAGAUUUCAGAAUCAUAAUGAAUUUUGGAGCGCCUGAGAA
Molecule: long non-coding RNA, 2327 nt
Organism: Triticum dicoccoides
Lineage: Eukaryota; Viridiplantae; Streptophyta; Magnoliopsida; Poales; Poaceae
Exons: 4
Source: RefSeq, a predicted model, not a curated record